ACUUUCAUAUGUAAUUCUUGCAAAAGUCUGAUAUUUUUAAAUAUAUCCCUCCGUUAGAAUUUGUUAGAAAAUUUUAGUUAACCAUAGAUUAAAUACUUAAUUUUGAUUAAUUUUUUGAUAUUUUCAAAUAUAUCUCUCUGAUUUGUUACCGUUAAAGAACCGUUAGAAAACUGUUUAUAUUUUCAAUUUUGCCAUCACAAAUAUAUCCCUCAAAAAAUAAUAACAGUAUAAUAUAAAGAGAUAAAAAUAUCAAAAAAUUAAUCAAAAUUAAGUAUUUAAUCUAUGGUUAACUAAAAUUUUCUAACAAAUUCUAACGGAGGGAUAUAUUUAAAAAUAUCAGACUUUUGCAAGAAUUACAUAUGAAAGUUAAACUUUAGAGCGAUAUAUUUGUCAUUUACUGUAUUUUGCAAAGACCUGUGUGAAAUUAACCCCAAAAUAAAAGUAAUACAACGAGAUCGUCAAAUAACGCAUAUAUAUUUCACAGUAGAUAAAAAAAAAAAUAUUAUUUAUUGUGCAGAAUUUUUCUGUACAGAGAUAUGUUGAGAAACAACUGCUUUAUCGAAGUUUACCUUUUAUUGUGGCACUAAUUGCGCAAAUGGUCCUCAAUCAUUACUCACUUUUCCAUGUGGACCUCAAAUUUUUUUCCAAUCAAGUCCCUGACCUUUGAUAUUAUCAAAUGUAGUAUUUUUUUAUUUUUUUUUUUGAGAGAUAGGUAGCACGCUACCUGCUUCGUUUAUUUUAUUUAGAAAUAAACUUAGCUGGAAAUGUGUAUCAACUAGGAUUCGGACUUGAGUCUUGGGAACCAACCACCAAGCCCUUUGCCACUUGCUCUAGGGACAGUCGGUAAAUCUAGUAAAAUUUGACACGUAGUAAGACUCAGCAUUGUUGUGGCAUUGACAUGAAAAUUAUUGCUAGGAACUUAAUUAUAAGAAAGGGAAAACUUCAAAUACCCUUAUGUAAUUUCAUACUUUCUCACUUUAGUAUUCUGUGGUUUAAAAUGUAUCAAGUUAGUAUCCCGUGGUUUCGCACUUUCUCACUUUAGUACCAUGUGGUUUAACGUGUAUCAAGUUAGUAUCAUGUGGUUUCGCACUUUCUCACUUUAGUAUCUUGUGGUUUAAUAUUUCGUUAAAUUAUAUAUACAAAAAACUUCAGAUACACUAUCUAGGUUUAUUGAAUAUUCAUUUUAGGACCCUUUAGUUUUAAUUUUGUCACUAAUUUAACGAAAAAAAUAUCCCGAAACGGAUAAUAAAAAGAGAAAAAUAAAACCACAGGAUACUAACUUGAUACAAACAUAAAAUCACAGAGUACUAACUUGAUACACUUUAAACCACAUGGUACUAAAGUGCGAAAUGCGAAACCACAGAGUACUAACUUGAUACACUUUAAACUAAAGGGUACUAAAGUGAAAAAGUGCGAAACCAUAGGAGGGUUUUUGAAGUUUUCCCUAUAAAAAAAUAAAGGUUGGGG
RNAcentral lists this long non-coding RNA (1467 nucleotides) under Ananas comosus (pineapple). RNAcentral describes it as "long non-coding RNA (ACOM_LNC009696)". Lineage: Eukaryota; Viridiplantae; Streptophyta; Magnoliopsida; Poales; Bromeliaceae. The record is from RNAcentral.